RNAcentral lists this ribosomal RNA (253 nucleotides) under uncultured bacterium. Its description in RNAcentral is "partial 16S ribosomal RNA". It matches the Rfam family "Bacterial small subunit ribosomal RNA", at positions 524 to 776 of the family's 1533-position model. The record is from RNAcentral.
UACGGGGGGGGCAAGCGUUGUUCGGAAUUACUGGGCGUAAAGGGUUUGUAGGUGGCUUGUUAAGUCAGACGUGAAAUCCCUCAGCUUAACUGGGGAACUGCGUCCAAGACUGGGAGGCUUGAAUCCGGGAGAGGGAUGCGGAAUUCCAGGUGUAGCGGUGAAAUGCGUAGAUAUCUGGAGGAACACCGGUGGCGAAGGCGGCAUCCUGGACCGGUAUUGACACUGAGGCGCGAAAGCCAGGGGAGCAAACGGG